Molecule: ribosomal RNA, 97 nt
Filed under: Moeroris fraterna
Lineage: Eukaryota; Viridiplantae; Streptophyta; Magnoliopsida; Malpighiales; Phyllanthaceae
Description: Phyllanthus fraternus partial 26S ribosomal RNA
Rfam family: Eukaryotic large subunit ribosomal RNA
Source: RNAcentral
ACGACCCCACGUCUCGCGGGAUUACCCGCUGAGUUUUUGCACAUCUCUAUGCGGAGGAGAAGAAACUUACAAGGAGUCCCCUAGUAUCGGCGAGCGA